This 369-nucleotide ribosomal RNA is filed under the name uncultured bacterium. RNAcentral's name for it is "bacterial SSU rRNA". It matches the Rfam family "Bacterial small subunit ribosomal RNA", at positions 525 to 896 of the family's 1533-position model. The record is from RNAcentral.
ACGGAGGGUGCAAGCGUUAUCCGGAUUCACUGGGUUUAAAGGGUGCGUAGGCGGGUUGGUAAGUCCGUGGUGAAAUCUCCAAGCUUAACUUGGAAACUGCCGUGGAUACUAUCAAUCUUGAAUAUAGUGGAGGUGAGCGGAAUAUGUCAUGUAGCGGUGAAAUGCUUAGAUAUGACAUAGAACACCCAUUGCGAAGGCAGCUCGCUACACUAUUAUUGACGCUGAGGCACGAAAGCGUGGGGAUCAAACAGGAUUAGAUACCCUGGUAGUCCACGCCCUAAACGAUGAUUACUCGACAUCAGCGAUACACUGUUGGUGUCUGAGCGAAAGCAUUAAGUAAUCCACCUGGGAAGUACGACCGCAAGGUUG